RNAcentral lists this ribosomal RNA (274 nucleotides) under uncultured bacterium. RNAcentral describes it as "partial 16S ribosomal RNA". It matches the Rfam family "Bacterial small subunit ribosomal RNA", at positions 523 to 796 of the family's 1533-position model. The record is from RNAcentral.
AUACAGAGGGUGCAAGCGUUAAUCGGAAUUACUGGGCGUAAAGCGCGCGUAGGUGGUUUGAUAAGUUGGAUGUGAAAUCCCCGGGCUUAACCUGGGUCGGUCAUUCAAAACUGUCAGACUAGAGUAUGGUAGAGGGUAGUGGAAUUUCUAGUGUAGCGGUGAAAUGCGUAGAUAUUAGAAGGAACACCAGUGGCGAAGGCGACUGCCUGGACUGAUACUGACACUGAGGUGCGAAAGCGUGGGCAGCGAACAGGAUUAGAUACCCCAGUAGUCC